This 902-nucleotide ribosomal RNA is filed under the name Bacillus subtilis. Its description in RNAcentral is "bacterial SSU rRNA". It matches the Rfam family "Bacterial small subunit ribosomal RNA", at positions 56 to 939 of the family's 1533-position model. The record is from RNAcentral. Lineage: Bacteria; Bacillati; Bacillota; Bacilli; Caryophanales; Bacillaceae.
UGCAGUCGAGCGGACAGAUGGGAGCUUGCUCCCUGAUGUUAGCGGCGGACGGGUGAGUAACACGUGGGUAACCUGCCUGUAAGACUGGGAUAACUCCGGGAAACCGGGGCUAAUACCGGAUGGUUGUUUGAACCGCAUGGUUCAAACAUAAAAGGUGGCUUCGGCUACCACUUACAGAUGGACCCGCGGCGCAUUAGCUAGUUGGUGAGGUAACGGCUCACCAAGGCAACGAUGCGUAGCCGACCUGAGAGGGUGAUCGGCCACACUGGGACUGAGACACGGCCCAGACUCCUACGGGAGGCAGCAGUAGGGAAUCUUCCGCAAUGGACGAAAGUCUGACGGAGCAACGCCGCGUGAGUGAUGAAGGUUUUCGGAUCGUAAAGCUCUGUUGUUAGGGAAGAACAAGUACCGUUCGAAUAGGGCGGUACCUUGACGGUACCUAACCAGAAAGCCACGGCUAACUACGUGCCAGCAGCCGCGGUAAUACGUAGGUGGCAAGCGUUGUCCGGAAUUAUUGGGCGUAAAGGGCUCGCAGGCGGUUUCUUAAGUCUGAUGUGAAAGCCCCCGGCUCAACCGGGGAGGGUCAUUGGAAACUGGGGAACUUGAGUGCAGAAGAGGAGAGUGGAAUUCCACGUGUAGCGGUGAAAUGCGUAGAGAUGUGGAGGAACACCAGUGGCGAAGGCGACUCUCUGGUCUGUAACUGACGCUGAGGAGCGAAAGCGUGGGGGAGCGAACAGGAUUAGAUACCCUGGUAGUCCACGCCGUAAACGAUGAGUGCUAAGUGUUAGGGGGUUUCCGCCCCUUAGUGCUGCAGCUAACGCAUUAAGCACUCCGCCUGGGGAGUACGGUCGCAAGACUGAAACUCAAAGGAAUUGACGGGGGCCCGCACAAGCGGUGGAGCA